RNAcentral lists this ribosomal RNA (540 nucleotides) under uncultured bacterium. Its description in RNAcentral is "bacterial SSU rRNA". It matches the Rfam family "Bacterial small subunit ribosomal RNA", at positions 117 to 657 of the family's 1533-position model. The record is from RNAcentral.
GUAUAGAAUCUACCUUAUACAGGGGGAUAGCCUUUGGAAACGAAGAUUAAUACCCCAUAGUAUUAAUGAGUGGCAUCCUUAUUAAUUAAAACUCCGGUGGUAUAAGAUGACUAUGCGUCCUAUUAGCUAGUUGGUAUGGUAACGGCAUACCAAGGCAACGAUAGGUAGGGGUCCUGAGAGGGAGAUCCCCCACACUGGUACUGAGACACGGACCAGACUCCUACGGGAGGCAGCAGUGAGGAAUAUUGGACAAUGGUCGGAAGACUGAUCCAGCCAUGCCGCGUGCAGGAAGACUGCCCUAUGGGUUGUAAACUGCUUUUAUACAGGAAGAAUAAGGGGUACGUGUACUCUGAUGACGGUACUGUAAGAAUAAGCACCGGCUAACUCCGUGCCAGCAGCCGCGGUAAUACGGAGGGUGCAAGCGUUAUCCGGAAUCAUUGGGUUUAAAGGGUCCGUAGCGGGUUUAUAAGUCAGUGGUGAAAGUCUGCAGCUUAACUGUAGAAUUGCCAUUGAUACUGUAGAUCUUGAAUCGUUGUGAAG